This 299-nucleotide unclassified non-coding RNA is filed under the name plant metagenome. RNAcentral's name for it is "partial contains 5.8S ribosomal RNA, internal transcribed spacer 2, and large subunit ribosomal RNA". The stretch from base 1 to 105 matches the Rfam family "5.8S ribosomal RNA", at positions 50 to 154 of the family's 154-position model. The record is from RNAcentral.
GAAAUGCGAUAAGUAAUGUGAAUUGCAGAAUUCAGUGAAUCAUCGAAUCUUUGAACGCACAUUGUGCCCCCUGGUAUUCCGGGGGGCAUGCCUGUUCGAGCGUCAUUUCACCACUCAAGCCUCGCUUGGUAUUGGGCGACGCGGUCCGCCGCGCGCCUCAAAUCGACCGGCUGGGUCUUUCGUCCCCUCAGCGUUGUGGAAACUAUUCGCUAAAGGGUGCCGCGGGAGGCCACGCCGUAAAACAACCCCAUUUCUAAGGUUGACCUCGGAUCAGGUAGGGAUACCCGCUGAACUUAAGC